CGGAGGGUGCAAGCGUUAUCCGGAUUCACUGGGUUUAAAGGGUGUGUAGGCGGGCUGUUAAGUCAGUGGUGAAAUCUCCAGGCUCAACCUGGAAACUGCCAUUGAUACUAUCAGUCUUGAAUUUUGUUGAGGUAGGCGGAAUAUGUCAUGUAGCGGUGAAAUGCUUAGAUAUGACAUAGAACACCGAUUGCGAAGGCAGCUUACUAAACAAAUAUUGACGCUGAGGCACGAAAGCGUGGGGAUCAAACAGGAUUAGAUACCCUGGUAGUCCACGCCCUAAACGAUGAUUACUCGACAUACGCGAUAUUACUGUGUGUGUCUGAGCGAAAGCAUUAAGUAAUCCACCUGGGAAGUACGUCCGCAAGGAUG
RNAcentral lists this ribosomal RNA (369 nucleotides) under uncultured organism. RNAcentral's name for it is "bacterial SSU rRNA". It matches the Rfam family "Bacterial small subunit ribosomal RNA", at positions 526 to 896 of the family's 1533-position model. The record is from RNAcentral.